This 440-nucleotide ribosomal RNA is filed under the name uncultured bacterium. Its description in RNAcentral is "partial 16S ribosomal RNA". It matches the Rfam family "Bacterial small subunit ribosomal RNA", at positions 338 to 795 of the family's 1533-position model. The record is from RNAcentral.
CCUACGGGAGGCAGCAGUGGGGAAUAUUGCACAAUGGGGGAAACCCUGAUGCAGCGACGCCGCGUGAGUGAAGAAGUAAUUCGUUAUGUAAAGCUCUAUCAGCAGGGAAGAAAAUGACGGUACCUGAGUAAGAAGCCCCGGCUAACUACGUGCCAGCAGCCGCGGUAAUACGUAGGGGGCAAGCGUUAUCCGGAUUUACUGGGUGGAAAGGGAGCGUAGACGGCAGUGCAAGUCUGGAGGGAAAGGCGGGGGCUCAACCCCCGGACUGCUCUGGAAACUGUACGGCUGGAGUGCAGGAGAGGUAAGUGGAAUUCCUAGUGUAGCGGUGAAAUGCGUAGAUAUUAGGAGGAACACCAGUGGCGAAGGCGGCUUACUGGACUGUAACUGACGUUGAGGCUCGAAAGCGUGGGGAGCAAACAGGAUUAGAUACCCCAGUAGUC